Non-coding RNA from Labrus bergylta (ballan wrasse), 307 nucleotides. Lineage: Eukaryota; Metazoa; Chordata; Actinopteri; Labriformes; Labridae. The record is from RefSeq and is a predicted model, not a curated record.
GCAAACAGGAAGUUAUAAAGCAAACAGGAAGUUGAGGGUUCUUUCUUUAAUCUUCAAGGCUGCCCACAGCAGGCAGCAACAGCAAUUUUUCACUCCUUCAAUCUGGUGAAUAAAUCAAAAGAGUCACUGAUUGGCUGACUUCCCUUCAGGUGCAGCUCCUGCAAUUCAAAGACAAAGCAUGCACAGGUUGGUCUGAUCUCUCUCCUCCACCUCUUGGCUCUUCUGGUCGUAGUUGACGGCGAGCUCCUCCAGCGCCUGCAGCACCUCCUUCACCUCCUCCUUCAGCUGGUUCUCCUGGGAGGGACGU